GCAAGUCGAUAUGAUUUGAUAUUGAUUAAAUUUUACUAUGUUAUUUUGUUUUAAUUAUUUGUUAUUAAAUUAUUAUUUUUGUUGGUGUAUUUAUUAAAAAUAAAAUUUUUGUUGGUUAUAAUAUAUUUGUACUGUAAAGGUUUAUUUGAAAUAAUUUUACAUUAUUUAAUAAGUUGAAUUUAAUUUUUGUACCUUGUGUAUCAGGGUUAAUUAAUCAUUAUUUAAUUAUUUGAUAUUCUCGAUUUCUUUAGAGUUAAUAGGAUAUUUUAUUUAUUGUAUUAUAAAUAUUAAAAAUUUUUUAUUAGUAGUGAAAUGUUAUUCGUUAAUGAAGGUAUCUAGUUUCUUAAGAAAUGAAUUUAAUUUAUAUAAUUUCUUUAAUUAUUAAUUUUUUUAUUGGUGUUUAAGUUAUUAUGAAUUAUAAAGGGGAUAAUCUCUUUAUAUUAUUUUUAUAAGGUAAUUUUAUUGUAAAUUUGUGUGGAUUUAAUAAUGGUUAUUAUUAUGAGUAUUUUAAAAUUUUAGUUUUGUAAUAUAUAAUUUUUGGUUCUUUAAUUUUAUAUUAAGAAUUUUUAUUUAAUUUUUUUUUAAUUUUUAUAAUGUUUAAAUUAGUAUAAUUUCUUUAAGAUAUUUUUAUAUGUGAAGUAUUUUCGAGGAAUUAGGCAAUAAUUUAUUCGCCUGUUUAACAAAAACAUCUUUUCUUGUUGUGUAUAUGAAAUAUGGCCUGCCCAAUGAGAAUUUUAAUGGCCGCGGUAUUUUGACCGUGCAAAGGUAGCAUAAUCAUUAGUCUUUUAAUUAAGGGCUGGAAUGAAUGGUUGGACGAGAUAAGUACUGUCUUGAUUUUAUUUAAUUAAAAUUUAACUUUUAAGUCAAAAGGCUUAAAUUUAUUUUUGGGACGAGAAGACCCUAUAGAGUUUAUAUAUAUAUAUUUACUAUAUUAAGUUUGUAAAUUUUUUGGUAAUUUAAAUUUAUUUGGUUGGGGUGACAGUAAGAUAAUUAAAACUCUUAUUUUUGUUUAAUUAUAUAUUUAUAUAUUAUUGAUCCAUUAUUAAUGAUUAAAAGGUUAAAUUACCUUAGGGAUAACAGCGUAAUCUUUUUUGAGAGUUCAUAUCGACAAAAGGGGUUGCGACCUCGAUGUUGGAUUAAGAUAAUAUUUUGGUGUAGAAGCUGAAAUUUUAGGUCUGUUCGACCUUUUAAUUCUUACAUGAUCUGAGUUCAAACCGGCGAGAGCCAGGUUGGUUUCUAUCUAAUAAAUAAUUUAAUAUUUUAGUACGAAAGGACCAAAUAUUAGAAAUAAUUUUUGUUUUAUUGAUUAUUAUUAACUAUUUUGGCAGAUAAGUGCGGUAGAUUUAGAAUCUGUGAAUGUAAUUAUAAAAUUGCAA
Molecule: ribosomal RNA, 1376 nt
Filed under: Pycnoscelus femapterus
Lineage: Eukaryota; Metazoa; Arthropoda; Insecta; Blattodea; Blaberidae
Description: 16S ribosomal RNA
Rfam family: Archaeal large subunit ribosomal RNA (bases 1073-1231)
Source: RNAcentral